GUAGGGAAUAUUGGGCAAUGGUCGGAAGACUGACCCAGCCAUGCCGCGUGCAGGAAGACGGCCCUCUGGGUUGUAAACUGCUUUUAUCUGGGAAGAAAAAGGCCAUGCGUGGCAAAUUGCCGGUACCAGAUGAAUAAGCACCGGCUAACUCCGUGCCAGCAGCCGCGGUAAUACGGAGGGUGCGAGCGUUGUCCGGAUUUAUUGGGUUUAAAGGGUGCGUAGGCGGCUGAUUAAGUCAGCGGUGAAAGACUUCGGCUUAACCGGAGCAGUGCCGUUGAUACUGGGUGGCUUGAGUGUCGGAGGGGUACAUGGAAUUGAUGGUGUAGCGGUGAAAUGCAUAGAUACCAUCAGGAACACCGAUAGCGAAGGCAUUGUACUGGCCGACAACUGACGCUGAUGCACGAAAGUGUGGGGAUCGAACAGGAUUAGAUACCCUAGUAGUCC
RNAcentral lists this ribosomal RNA (444 nucleotides) under uncultured bacterium. RNAcentral's name for it is "partial 16S ribosomal RNA". It matches the Rfam family "Bacterial small subunit ribosomal RNA", at positions 354 to 796 of the family's 1533-position model. The record is from RNAcentral.